RNAcentral lists this ribosomal RNA (561 nucleotides) under uncultured bacterium. Its description in RNAcentral is "bacterial SSU rRNA". It matches the Rfam family "Bacterial small subunit ribosomal RNA", at positions 338 to 915 of the family's 1533-position model. The record is from RNAcentral.
CCUACGGGAGGCAGCAGUGGGGAAUAUUGGACAAUGGGCGAAAGCCUGAUCCAGCAAUGCCGCGUGAGUGAUGAAGGCCUUAGGGUUGUAAAGCUCUUUUACCAGGGAUGAUAAUGACAGUACCUGGAGAAUAAGCUCCGGCUAACUCCGUGCCAGCAGCCGCGGUAAUACGGAGGGAGCUAGCGUUGUUCGGAAUUACUGGGCGUAAAGCGUACGUAGGCGGUUAUUCAAGUCAGAGGUGAAAGCCUGGAGCUCAACUCCAGAACUGCCUUUGAAACUAGAUAGCUAGAAUCUUGGAGAGGUGAGUGGAAUUCCGAGUGUAGAGGUGAAAUUCGUAGAUAUUCGGAAGAACACCAGUGGCGAAGGCGACUCACUGGACAAGUAUUGACGCUGAGGUACGAAAGCGUGGGGAGCAAACAGGAUUAGAUACCCUGGUAGUCCACGCCGUAAACGAUGAUAACUAGCUGUUCGGGCUCUACGAGCUUGAGUGGCGCAGCUAACGCAUUAAGUUAUCCGCCUGGGGAGUACGGUCGCAAGNUUAAAACUCAAAUUGAAUUGAGG